Molecule: ribosomal RNA, 253 nt
Filed under: uncultured bacterium
Lineage: Bacteria
Description: partial 16S ribosomal RNA
Rfam family: Bacterial small subunit ribosomal RNA
Source: RNAcentral
UACGUAGGUGACAAGCGUUGUCCGGAUUUACUGGGCGUAAAGAGCGCGCAGGCGGUCGUUCAAGUCGAGUGUGAAAGCCCCCGGCUCAACUGGGGAGGGUCAUUCGAUACUGAUCGACUCGAAGGCGGGAGAGGGUAGUGGAAUUCCCGGUGUAGUGGUGAAAUGCGUAGAUAUCGGGAGGAACACCAGUGGCGAAGGCGGCUCUCUGGAACGCAACUGACGCUGAGACGCGAAAGCGUGGGGAGCAAACAGG